Molecule: ribosomal RNA, 617 nt
Filed under: Enterobacter asburiae
Lineage: Bacteria; Pseudomonadati; Pseudomonadota; Gammaproteobacteria; Enterobacterales; Enterobacteriaceae
Description: bacterial SSU rRNA
Rfam family: Bacterial small subunit ribosomal RNA
Source: RNAcentral
UACUGGGCGUAAGCGCACGCAGGCGGUCUGUCAAGUCGGAUGUGAAAUCCCCGGGCUCAACCUGGGAACUGCAUUCGAAACUGGCAGGCUAGAGUCUUGUAGAGGGGGGUAGAAUUCCAGGUGUAGCGGUGAAAUGCGUAGAGAUCUGGAGGAAUACCGGUGGCGAAGGCGGCCCCCUGGACAAAGACUGACGCUCAGGUGCGAAAGCGUGGGGAGCAAACAGGAUUAGAUACCCUGGUAGUCCACGCCGUAAACGAUGUCGACUUGGAGGUUGUGCCCUUGAGGCGUGGCUUCCGGAGCUAACGCGUUAAGUCGACCGCCUGGGGAGUACGGCCGCAAGGUUAAAACUCAAAUGAAUUGACGGGGGCCCGCACAAGCGGUGGAGCAUGUGGUUUAAUUCGAUGCAACGCGAAGAACCUUACCUACUCUUGACAUCCAGAGAACUUUCCAGAGAUGGAUUGGUGCCUUCGGGAACUCUGAGACAGGUGCUGCAUGGCUGUCGUCAGCUCGUGUUGUGAAAUGUUGGGUUAAGUCCCGCAACGAGCGCAACCCUUAUCCUUUGUUGCCAGCGGUUAGGCCGGGAACUCAAAGGAGACUGCCAGUGAUAAACUGGAGGA